CACACAGCGCCACAAGUGGCAACCACAAUUAUUGGGCCUAAAGCGUCCGUAGCCGGUUCUGUAAGUCUUUUGUGAAAUCGUUGUGCUUAACAUAACGGUGUGCAAAAGAUACUGCAAGACUUGGAACUGGGAAGGGCCAGAGGUAUUCAAAGGGGAGCGGUAAAAUGUUAUAAUCCUUUGAAGACCACCUGUGGCGAAAGCGUCUGGCUAGAACAGCUUCGACGGUGAGGGACGAAAGCCAGGGGAGCAAAACGGAUUAGAUACCCGAGUAGUCCUGGCUGUAAACGCUGCGAGCAAGGUGUCGCGUAUUCUUCGUGAAUGCGCGGUGUCGAAGAGAAGUCAUUAAGCUCGCCGCCUGGGAAGUAUGGUCGCAAGGCUGAAACUUAAAGGAAUUGGCGGGGGAGCACCACAAGGGGUGCGGCGUGCGGUUUAAUCCAAUUCAACACGGAGAAUCUCACCAGGAGCGACGGCAAGAUGAAGGUCAGUCUGAAGGGCUUACCAGAUGAGCCGAGAGGUAGUGCAUGGCCGUCGUCAGCUCGUGCCGUAAGGUGUCCUGCUAAGCCAGGCAACGAGCGAGACCUGUAUCCACAAUUGCUAACGACUCUUUUAGGAGAAUCGAGCACAUUGUGGAGACUGCCUUGGAAACAAGGAGGAAGGCGCAGGCUACGGUAGGUCUGUAUGCUCCGAAUCUUCUGGGCUACACGCGCGCAACAAUGGUAAGGACAAUGUGAUGCAACUCUGAAAAGAGAAGCUAAUCCUCGAAACCUUGCCUUAGUUCAGAUUGAGGAUUGUAACUCAUCCUCAUGACGAUGGAAUCCCUAGUAAUCGGACGUUAUCAGCGUCUGGUGAAUAUGUCCCUGCUCCU
This 865-nucleotide ribosomal RNA is filed under the name uncultured archaeon. Its description in RNAcentral is "SSU rRNA". It matches the Rfam family "Archaeal small subunit ribosomal RNA", at positions 472 to 1337 of the family's 1478-position model. The record is from RNAcentral.